This 481-nucleotide ribosomal RNA is filed under the name uncultured bacterium. RNAcentral's name for it is "partial 16S ribosomal RNA". It matches the Rfam family "Bacterial small subunit ribosomal RNA", at positions 28 to 507 of the family's 1533-position model. The record is from RNAcentral.
GAUGAACGCUGGCGGCGUGCUUAACACAUGCAAGUCGAACGAAACACCUUAUUUGAUUUUCUUCGGAAAUGAAGAUUUGGUGAUUGAGUGGCGGACGGGUGAGUAACGCGUGGGUAACCUGCCCUGUACAGGGGGAUAACAGUCAGAAAUGACUGCUAAUACCGCAUAAGACCACAGCACCGCAUGGUGCAGGGGUAAAAACUCCGGUGGUACAGGAUGGACCCGCGUCUGAUUAGCUGGUUGGUGAGGUAACGGCUCACCAAGGCGACGAUCAGUAGCCGGCUUGAGAGAGUGAACGGCCACAUUGGGACUGAGACACGGCCCAAACUCCUACGGGAGGCAGCAGUGGGGAAUAUUGCACAAUGGGGGAAACCCUGAUGCAGCGACGCCGCGUGAGUGAAGAAGUAUUUCGGUAUGUAAAGCUCUAUCAGCAGGGAAGAAAAUGACGGUACCUGACUAAGAAGCCCCGGCUAACUACGUG